Molecule: long non-coding RNA, 243 nt
Filed under: Elaeis guineensis (African oil palm)
Lineage: Eukaryota; Viridiplantae; Streptophyta; Magnoliopsida; Arecales; Arecaceae
Description: long non-coding RNA (EGUI_LNC065768)
Source: RNAcentral
GGGUGGGCAUCACUCUUCAUGAGUCAUGGAUCUUAUCUCUUUCCUGAUUUGAAUUCAAUCCGAAUCAAGGAUAAGGAGAUAAGAAGGAAAGAGAUCCAUUUAGUUUGGAAAGAUGGGUGAUGCCAAAUAUUUUUUUCUUUUUGUGCGUUGAAGGUUUUGUUGGCAUGAGAAAGAUCUGAUUUCUUUCUCAUGCCAUCACAUAAUCUUAGAAAUUUUUGGAUGCUCUGUAUGGAUGUGGCGUGG